AUGGAGGUGGAGAUGCAGCUGGACGACGACCUCUUCUUCGCGGAGCUCAGCAAGCGGAUUUCCCUCCUCAUCACCGACGACGACGAGGCCGACUUCGCCGCCUCGCAGUUCCCCGCCGCCGUCCACCUCCCACCGGGUUUCUCCAUGUCCAUGGCGCCCCAUGUGCCGUCGAUGUUGGCGCCACCGGCCUACACGCUGUUCCACCACGCCGCCAGCUACGGCGCCGGCGACGGCGGGAGAACGUGGCAGCAGCAACCUCAGCAGCAGCAGCAGCAGCAGUGCGGCAGCAAGGGCACCGGCGUCUUCAUCCCCCGGUCCACGCCCGGCUCCGUGCACCCCAAGAGGAAGGGCAGGAACUGGAGCGGCUCCAAGGCCGCCGCGCACAAGGCCAAGGCCCAGGCCCAGGCCGACGCCGGGGUCGCCGCAGGCGCGCCCACUAAAAGACGCGCCUGA
RNAcentral lists this ribosomal RNA (453 nucleotides) under Triticum aestivum (bread wheat). RNAcentral's name for it is "partial small subunit ribosomal RNA". Lineage: Eukaryota; Viridiplantae; Streptophyta; Magnoliopsida; Poales; Poaceae. The record is from RNAcentral.